RNAcentral lists this ribosomal RNA (791 nucleotides) under uncultured bacterium. RNAcentral describes it as "bacterial SSU rRNA". It matches the Rfam family "Bacterial small subunit ribosomal RNA", at positions 90 to 913 of the family's 1533-position model. The record is from RNAcentral.
ACUCAGUGGCGGACGGGUGAGUAACACGUAAGAAUUUGCCUUUAGGAGGGGGAUAACAACUGGAAACGGUUGCUAAUACCCCAUAUGCUUUCGAGUGAAAUGGGUUUCCGCCUAAAGAGAAGCUUGCGGCUGAUUAGCUUGUUGGUGAGGUAAUGGCUCACCAAGGCGACGAUCAGUAUCUGGUUUGAGAGGAUGAUCAGACACACUGGAACUGAGACACGGUCCAGACUCCUACGGGAGGCAGCAGUGGGGAAUUUUCCGCAAUGGGCGAAAGCCUGACGGAGCAAUACCGCGUGAGGGAUGAUGGCCUAUGGGUUGUAAACCUCUUUUUCAGGGAGGAAUCAAUGACGUGUACCUGAAGAAUAAGCAUCGGCUAACUCCGUGCCAGCAGCCGCGGUAAGACGGAGGAUGCAAGUGUUAUCCGGAAUCACUGGGCGUAAAGCGUCUGUAGGUGGUCAAAUAAGUCAACUGUUAAAUCUUGAGGCUCAACCUCAAAAUCGCAGUCGAAACUAUUAGACUAGAGUAUAGUAGGGGUAAAGGGAAUUUCCAGUGGAGCGGUGAAAUGCGUAGAGAUUGGAAGGAACACCGAUGGCGAAGGCACUUUACUGGGCUAUUACUAACACUCAGAGACGAAAGCUAGGGUAGCAAAUGGGAUUAGAUACCCCAGUAGUCCUAGCUGUAAACAAUGGAUACUAGAUGUUGAACAGAUCGACCUGUGCAGUAUCAAAGCUAACGCGUUAAGUAUCCCGCCUGGGAAGUAUGCUCGCAAGAGUGAAACUCAAAGGAAUUGA